AUUGAACGCUGGCGGCAGGCCUAACACAUGCAAGUCGAGCGGAUGAAGGGAGCUUGCUCCUGGAUUCAGCGGCGGACGGGUGAGUAAUGCCUAGGAAUCUGCCUGGUAGUGGGGGAUAACGUCCGGAAACGGGCGCUAAUACCGCAUACGUCCUGAGGGAGAAAGUGGGGGAUCUUCGGACCUCACGCUAUCAGAUGAGCCUAGGUCGGAUUAGCUAGUUGGUGGGGUAAAGGCCUACCAAGGCGACGAUCCGUAACUGGUCUGAGAGGAUGAUCAGUCACACUUGAACUGAGACACGGUCCAGACUCCUACGGGAGGCAGCAGUGGGGAAUAUUGGACAAUGGGCGAAAGCCUGAUCCAGGCAAGCCGCGUGUGUGAAGAAGGUCUUCGGAUUGUAAAGCACUUUAAGUUGGGAGGAAGGGCAGUAAGUUAAUACCUUGCUGUUUUGACGUUACCAACAGAAUAAGCACCGGCUAACUUCGUG
This 484-nucleotide ribosomal RNA is filed under the name uncultured bacterium. RNAcentral's name for it is "partial 16S ribosomal RNA". It matches the Rfam family "Bacterial small subunit ribosomal RNA", at positions 30 to 507 of the family's 1533-position model. The record is from RNAcentral.